AUUGAACGCUGGCGGCAUGCCUUACACAUGCAAGUCGAACGGCAGCACGGGUGCUUGCACCUGGUGGCGAGUGGCGAACGGGUGAGUAAUACAUCGGAACGUACCUUGUCGUGGGGGAUAACGCAGCGAAAGCUGUGCUAAUACCGCAUACGCCCUGAGGGGGAAAGCGGGGGAUCGAAAGACCUCGCGCGAUUAGAGCGGCCGCUGCCUGAUUAGCUUGUUGGUGGGGUAAAAGCCCACCAAGGCGACGAUCAGUAGCUGGUCUGAGAGGACGAUCAGCCACACUGGGACGGAGACACGGCCCCGACUCCUACGGGAGGCAGCAGUGGGGAAUUUUGGACAAUGGGGGAAACCCUGAUCCAGCAAUGCCGCGUGAGUGAAGAAGGCCUUCGGGUUGUAACGCUCUUUUGUCAGGGAAGAAACACCGGCUCUAACACAGUCCGGGAAUGACGGUACCUGAAGAAUAAGCACCGGCUAACUACGUGCCAGCCGCCGCAGUAA
Molecule: ribosomal RNA, 501 nt
Filed under: uncultured bacterium
Lineage: Bacteria
Description: partial 16S ribosomal RNA
Rfam family: Bacterial small subunit ribosomal RNA
Source: RNAcentral